This 543-nucleotide long non-coding RNA is filed under the name Mus musculus (house mouse). Its description in RNAcentral is "long non-coding RNA chr14:5597553-5598096". The record is from RNAcentral. Lineage: Eukaryota; Metazoa; Chordata; Mammalia; Rodentia; Muridae.
UUGGGUAAAGGAGACUUGGUUGCCUGGAGGAAGAAAAGGCCCAGGGGCUGUCUUCCUGCAGACUUCCAAGAGAACAGAAAGAAAUGCCUGGAUUCCAGUCCAGCUUUGCUGAGUUCUUGGAGAGGACCUUCAUGCCUACAAAGGAAAAGGUGAAACCUGAAGAUACAGCUCCAAGUGACAACGCUUGCUCUGAGGCUAUGAUAGCUGAUGAAGAAUUAUGUUCCUCUUAAAGGCAAUAAGAAAGGAACUGAAGAAAAAUGAAGACUUAGGUACUCACAAAAGACUACCGCUUUCUUCCUGAUUCGUUCUGAAUAUUGUCCAAAGAUCAAGAGUGAAUCACGGGGCUUGUCCACUGGGAAUGUAGCAAGGAAAUUGGGUGAGAUGUGGUCUGAGCAGACAGCCCAAGAUAGACCACCAUGUGAAGAGAAGGCAGCAGAACUAAAGGAAGAAAGAGAUACAGGAUAUUGUAUGCCUUGAGAGGGCAGAGGUGAUGCAAGAUACAAUGGCCCUAGUGGGCCAGGAGGCUCAAGGAAGAAUGAAUAG